Molecule: ribosomal RNA, 430 nt
Filed under: Bacteroidota bacterium
Lineage: Bacteria; Pseudomonadati; Bacteroidota
Description: Bacteroidetes bacterium partial 16S ribosomal RNA
Rfam family: Bacterial small subunit ribosomal RNA
Source: RNAcentral
UAGGGAAUCUUCGGCAAUGGGGGGAACCCUGACCGAGCAACGCCGCGUGAGUGAAGAAGGUUUUCGGAUCGUAAAGCUCUGUUGUUAAGGAAGAACGAGUGUGAGAAUGGAAAGUUCAUACUGUGACGGUACUUAACCAGAAAGGGACGGCUAACUACGUGCCAGCAGCCACGGUAAUACGUAGGUGGCAAGCGUUGUCCGGAUUUAUUGGGCGUAAAGCGAGCGCAGGCGGUCAAUUAAGUCUGAUGUGAAAGCCCCCGGCUCAACCGGGGAGGGUCAUUGGAAACUGGUUGACUUGAGUGCAGAAGAGGAGAGUGGAAUUCCAUGUGUAGCGGUGAAAUGCGUAGAUAUAUGGAGGAACACCAGUGGCGAAGGCGACUCUCUGGUCUGUAACUGACGCUGAGGCUCGAAAGCGUGGGUAGCAAACAGG